RNAcentral lists this long non-coding RNA (449 nucleotides) under Mus spicilegus (steppe mouse). Its description in RNAcentral is "lncRNA (ENSMSIG00000005112.1)". Lineage: Eukaryota; Metazoa; Chordata; Mammalia; Rodentia; Muridae. The record is from RNAcentral.
UUUGAGUCAUUUUUUCUCACCCAUUUUGUGACAGUAACAAAGUUUGGCUGACUGAGCGCUCAUGGGCUAGGAUGCAGCUGCCAGCUCCUGAAGCUACGGGCAAGUAAGAUUGAUGAAGCAGGAAUAUUCUUCUGAGAAGCAAAGCAUGCUGGGGGAAUUCUGCAGCAAUGCACAGAGAGGACAAGGAAUAAGAAGCCGGUCUCUACAGGGGACAGAACCAAGAAGUGGAACGGCCAGGCCUCUGGAUCCAUCGAGUCCUGACUCCAUCUCACUCCAUCUCACUCUUCUGCUCUGAUGGUCCCUGCAGUGGCCAGUGUGAAGUUUGACAUGUGGUUGGUGACUCUGCCUUACUUCCCAGGCUCCAUCCUCCACCGGCCUGUCUCACAUGACAACCACAUGGCAGGUGGCCUUUUACAGUGCUUGAUGGUUCUCACACAACAGACAUCUAA